RNAcentral lists this ribosomal RNA (1382 nucleotides) under uncultured fungus. Its description in RNAcentral is "eukaryotic LSU rRNA". The stretch from base 687 to 1382 matches the Rfam family "Eukaryotic large subunit ribosomal RNA", at positions 1 to 667 of the family's 3401-position model. Lineage: Eukaryota; Fungi. The record is from RNAcentral.
CUUGGUCAUUUAGAGGAAGUAAAAGUCGUAACAAGGUUUCCGUAGGUGAACCUGCGGAAGGAUCAUUAUUGAAAUAAACCUGAUGGGCUGUUGCUGGGUUCUCUAGGGAAACAUGUGCACGCUUGUCAUCUUUAUAUCUCCACCUGUGCACCUUUUGUAGACCUGAAUAUCUUUCCAAGUGUUUUCAGCACUCGGGUAUGAGGCAUGACUUUUGCUGUCUUUCCUUACAUUUUCAGGCCUAUGUUUAUAUAUUAUAUACCCAAUCUAUGUUAUAGAACGUGUAGUCAAUAGGUGUUUGUGCCUAUAAUCAAUCUAUACAACUUUCAGCAACGGAUCUCUUGGCUCUCGCAUCGAUGAAGAACGCAGCGAAAUGCGAUAAGUAAUGUGAAUUGCAGAAUUCAGUGAAUCAUCGAAUCUUUGAACGCACCUUGCGCUCCUUGGUAUUCCGAGGAGCACGCCUGUUUGAGUGUCAUUAAUAUAUCAAUCUCUUCAGCUUUUUUGCUGAUUGAGUUUGGAUGUGGGGGGUAUUUUUUUUUGCUGGCUUCUUUCUGAGGUUGGCUCCCCUAAAAUGCAUUAGCGGAACGAUUUGUUGACUUGUUCACUAGUGUGAUAACUAUCUAUGCUAUUGACAACGAAGCAUGUUCAGCUUCUAACGGUCCAUUGACUUGGACAAUUUUUCAUUAAUGUGACCUCAAAUCAGGUGGGACUACCCGCUGAACUUAAGCAUAUCAAUAAGCGGAGGAAAAGAAACUAACAAGGAUUCCCCUAGUAACUGCGAGUGAAGCGGGAAAAGCUCAAAUUUAAAAUCUGGCAGCUCCCUUGGCUGUCCGAGUUGUAAUCUAGAGAAGUGUUAUCCGCGCUGGACCGUGUACAAGUCUCCUGGAAUGGAGCGUCAUAGAGGGUGAGAAUCCCGUCUUUGGCACGGAUGUCCCGGGGCUUUUGUGAUGCGCUCUCGAAGAGUCGAGUUGUUUGGGAAUGCAGCUCAAAAUGGGUGGUGAACUCCAUCUAAAGCUAAAUAUUGGCGAGAGACCGAUAGCGAACAAGUACCGUGAGGGAAAGAUGAAAAGCACUUUGGAAAGAGAGUGAAACAGUACGUGAAAUUGUUGAAAGGGAAACGCUUGAAGUCAGUCGCGUCGACCGAGACUCAGCCUUGCUUCGGCUUGGUGUACUUCUCGGCUUGACGGGUCAGCGUCAAUUUUGUCCCUCGGAUAAUGGCGAGAGAAAGGUGGCACCUUUGCGGGUGUGUUAUAGUCUCUUGUCGCAUGCGAGGGCCAGGAUUGAGGAACUCAGCACGCGCCUCUCGGCGUCGGGGCUUCGGCUCACGCUACGUGCUUAGGAUGCUGGCGUAAUGGCUUUAGACGACCCGUCUUGAAACACGGACC